Molecule: long non-coding RNA, 205 nt
Organism: Megalops cyprinoides (Indo-Pacific tarpon)
Lineage: Eukaryota; Metazoa; Chordata; Actinopteri; Elopiformes; Megalopidae
Exons: 3
Source: RefSeq, a predicted model, not a curated record
CACGAAAGUUUAAAGACUGGGAUAUGCCUGGAAAUGGAGCCCUUUCAAACAAAGAAAAUACAUUUAACAUUUGGUAAAGGAAGGGCUCCAGCCAUGCUUCCUAACGCUGACUGUGGAGGAACACUCUGUGGAUGCAUUUCCUGUCUGACGCACCGCAGAGAAUGGAGGAGAAGAAGUCCCUGAGAACAGUGGUAUCCAGAGAAAG